CAUCUACUCCCUCCGUUUGGAAUUACUUCUCGCGGAAAUGAAUGUAUCUAGACGUAUUUUAGUUCUAGAUACAUCCAUUUCCGAGACAAGUAAUUUCGAACGGAGGGAGUACAUC
This is a non-coding RNA of Triticum urartu, 115 nucleotides long. NCBI's taxonomy places the organism in Eukaryota, Viridiplantae, Streptophyta, Magnoliopsida, Poales, Poaceae. The record is from Rfam.